RNAcentral lists this ribosomal RNA (435 nucleotides) under uncultured bacterium. RNAcentral describes it as "partial 16S ribosomal RNA". It matches the Rfam family "Bacterial small subunit ribosomal RNA", at positions 28 to 507 of the family's 1533-position model. The record is from RNAcentral.
GAUGAACGCUGGCGGUAUGCUUAACACAUGCAAGUCGAACGGACUCUUCGGAGUUAGUGGCGGACGGGUGAGUAACGCGUGAGAAUCUGGCUUUGGGUUCGGGACAACCACUGGAAACGGUGGCUAAUACCGGAUGUGCCGAGAGGUAAAAGAGAAAUUGCCUGAAGAUGAGCUCGCGUCUGAUUAGCUAGUUGGUGGGGUAAAGGCUCACCAAGGCAGCGAUCAGUAGCUGGUCUGAGAGGAUGACCAGCCACACUGGGACUGAGACACGGCCCAGACUCCUACGGGAGGCAGCAGUGGGGAAUUUUCCGCAAUGGGCGAAAGCCUGACGGAGCAAUACCGCGUGAGGGAAGAAGGCUCUUGGGUUGUAAACCUCUUUUCUUAGGGAAGAACAAAAUGACGGUACCUAAGGAAUCAGCAUCGGCUAACUCCGUG